This 503-nucleotide ribosomal RNA is filed under the name uncultured bacterium. RNAcentral's name for it is "partial 16S ribosomal RNA". It matches the Rfam family "Bacterial small subunit ribosomal RNA", at positions 30 to 523 of the family's 1533-position model. The record is from RNAcentral.
AUUGAACGCUGGCGGCAGGCUUAACACAUGCAAGUCGAGCGGGGUGAUGGUGCUUGCACUAUCACUUAGCGGCGGACGGGUGAGUAAUGCUUAGGAAUCUGCCUAUUAGUGGGGGACAACAUCUCGAAAGGGAUGCUAAUACCGCAUACGUCCUACGGGAGAAAGCAGGGGAUCACUUGUGACCUUGCGCUAAUAGAUGAGCCUAAGUCGGAUUAGCUAGUUGGUGGGGUAAAGGCCUACCAAGGCGACGAUCUGUAGCGGGUCUGAGAGGAUGAUCCGCCACAUUGGGACGGAGACACGGCCCAGACUCCGACGGGAGGCAGCAGUGGGGAAUAUUGGACAAUGGGGGGAACCCUGAUCCAGCCAUGCCGCGUGUGUGAAGAAGGCCUUAUGGUUGUAAAGCACUUUAAGCGAGGAGGAGGCUCUUUUGGUUAAUACCCAAGAUGAGUGGACGUUACUCGCAGAAUAAGCACCGGCUAACUCUGUGCCAGCAGCCGCUGUAA